AUUGAACGCUGGCGGCAUGCCUUACACAUGCAAGUCGAACGGUAACAGGUCUUCGGAUGCUGACGAGUGGCGAACGGGUGAGUAAUACAUCGGAACGUGCCUAGUAGUGGGGGAUAACUACUCGAAAGAGUGGCUAAUACCGCAUGAGAUCUACGGAUGAAAGCAGGGGAUCGCAAGACCUUGUGCUACUAGAGCGGCCGAUGGCAGAUUAGGUAGUUGGUGGGAUAAAAGCUUACCAAGCCGACGAUCUGAAGCUGGUCUGAGAGGACGAUCAGCCACACUGGGACUGAGACACGGCCCAGACUCCUACGGGAGGCAGCAGUGGGGAAUUUCGGACAAUGGGCGAAAGCCUGAUCCAGCAAUGCCGCGUGCAGGAUGAAGGCCUUCGGGUUGUAAACUGCUUUUGUACGGAACGAAAAGCCCCGGGUUAAUACCCUGGGGUCAUGACGGUACCGUAAGAAUAAGCACCGGCUAACUACGUGCCAGCCGCCGCAGUAA
This 498-nucleotide ribosomal RNA is filed under the name uncultured bacterium. Its description in RNAcentral is "partial 16S ribosomal RNA". It matches the Rfam family "Bacterial small subunit ribosomal RNA", at positions 30 to 523 of the family's 1533-position model. The record is from RNAcentral.